GACACUUUGCGGGGUGCUUACACAUGCAGUCGAACGGUGAACACGGAGCUUGCUCUGUGGGAUCAGUGGCGAACGGGUGAGUAACACGUGAGCAACCUGCCCCUGACUCUGGGAUAAGCGCUGGAAACGGCGUCUAAUACUGGAUAUGUGACGUGACCGCAUGGUCUGCGUCUGGAAAGAAUUUCGGUUGGGGAUGGGCUCGCGGCCUAUCAGCUUGUUGGUGAGGUAAUGGCUCACCAAGGCGUCGACGGGUAGCCGGCCUGAGAGGGUGACCGGCCACACUGGGACUGAGACACGGCCCAGACUCCUACGGGAGGCAGCAGUGGGGAAUAUUGCACAAUGGGCGCAAGCCUGAUGCAGCAACGCCGCGUGAGGGACGACGGCCUUCGGGUUGUAAACCUCUUUUAGCAGGGAAGAAGCGAAAGUGACGGUACCUGCAGAAAAAGCGCCGGCUAACUACGUGCCAGCAGCCGCGGUAAUACGUAGGGCGCAAGCGUUAUCCGGAAUUAUUGGGCGUAAAGAGCUCGUAGGCGGUUUGUCGCGUCUGCUGUGAAAUCCGGAGGCUCAACCUCCGGCCUGCAGUGGGUACGGGCAGACUAGAGUGCGGUAGGGGAGAUUGGAAUUCCUGGUGUAGCGGUGGAAUGCGCAGAUAUCAGGAGGAACACCGAUGGCGAAGGCAGAUCUCUGGGCCGUAACUGACGCUGAGGAGCGAAAGGGUGGGGAGCAAACAGGCUUAGAUACCCUGGUAGUCCACCCCGUAAACGUUGGGAACUAGUUGUGGGGUCCAUUCCACGGAUUCCGUGACGCAGCUAACGCAUUAAGUUCCCCGCCUGGGGAGUACGGCCGCAAGGCUAAAACUCAAAGGAAUUGACGGGGACCCGCACAAGCGGCGGAGCAUGCGGAUUAAUUCGAUGCAACGCGAAGAACCUUACCAGGCUUGACAUAUACGAGAACGGGCCAGAAAUGGUCAACUCUUUGGACACUCGUAAACAGGUGGUGCAUGGUUGUCGUCAGCUCGUGUCGUGAGAUGUUGGGUUAGUCCCGCCACGGACCGCAACCCUUCGUCUAUUGUUGCAGCACGUAAUGGUGGACUCAUGGGAUACUGCCGGUCCACUCUGAGGAUGGGGGCAUGACGUCAAUCUAUCAGUCCCUUAUGGUCUGGGCUUCACGUCUUGCUACAUUGGC
Molecule: ribosomal RNA, 1185 nt
Filed under: Microbacterium sp.
Lineage: Bacteria; Bacillati; Actinomycetota; Actinomycetes; Micrococcales; Microbacteriaceae
Description: bacterial SSU rRNA
Rfam family: Bacterial small subunit ribosomal RNA
Source: RNAcentral